UUCUUCAAAACCAUAUCUUUAAUGGAAUGUUAAAAGUUAGGUCUAUUAUAUAAAUAGAACAAUACAUGUUAAUUUUUGUUUGAUUUGAUAACAUUGAUAAUAAGUGCUGAGUUUCUAUCCCUGUAGGAUUAUCUUUCUAAUGAUAUAAACUAAUUUCAUUGAAAGUGUCCAUCAGACAUUGAGUGGCUUUGGGUCAAGAUUUAGCUUACAGAAAGUGUCGCUAAGUCAACAGUCUGAAUCAAAAUGAUCAAUGAUCAGUAUUGGUCAAGUCUGGACGCCAGCCACCCAAAUGUCUUCAUGGGACAUCCUGGUGGAAAUUUUAUGUGCGCUUAUAUGAAAAUAUAAAAAAUGAUUUUUGUUUCAUGGAAUGCAAACAUACAGAAGAAUAUAGAACAAAUUCAAUAACACUGCAAUCAGUGACUAUACAAUUAUUCUGUACAAUAUUUACAUAGCCACAGAAAGUGAAUGAACAAAGAUAUAGUGUUGCAGUACGUAACACUUAACAUGAACAAAAAGAUAAAUCAGUUUGUUUUGUUACAAUUAUAUAGCCACUUAAAUCAGUUGAUACACUUUUCUUGCUAUUUCCUCAGAAAUAAAAAUAUAGUCAUGAAUCUCAAAAAAAAAAAAAAAAAG
This is a non-coding RNA of Biomphalaria pfeifferi, 633 nucleotides long. The record is from the annotation of a GenBank genome assembly. NCBI's taxonomy places the organism in Eukaryota, Metazoa, Mollusca, Gastropoda, Planorbidae.